This 304-nucleotide long non-coding RNA is filed under the name Elaeis guineensis (African oil palm). Its description in RNAcentral is "long non-coding RNA (EGUI_LNC041592)". The record is from RNAcentral. Lineage: Eukaryota; Viridiplantae; Streptophyta; Magnoliopsida; Arecales; Arecaceae.
CUCCUUCUACUUUCUCUCUAAAAAAUUUUACCUUCUGUCUCUAUAAGUUUCUCUCUCUAAGUGUCUCUUGUUGGAUUAUGUCUCUCCAUUGAGAUUUUCUAGAUCUUAGAAAGAUCCUCUAAUAAUCUUGAUAGAUCCUGGUGCAGGGAUCUUGACUGUUAACUAUCGAAUAAUUUAUCAGUCCUCAUCUUGAUCGGGUCGAGCAUCAUGAGAUUUUAUUGUCAAUUGUAUCUUAGCAUCAUAGCAUGGCUUUUGAUUUUAGUUGAUCGAUUUGAUGCCCUAGAUUAAACUGACUGGACGUCGG